Molecule: ribosomal RNA, 437 nt
Filed under: uncultured bacterium
Lineage: Bacteria
Description: partial 16S ribosomal RNA
Rfam family: Bacterial small subunit ribosomal RNA
Source: RNAcentral
AGCGAACGCUGGCGGCAGGCUUAACACAUGCAGGUCGAGCGGGCAUCCUUGUGGUGUCAGCGGCAGACGGGUGAGUAACGCGUGGGAACGUGCCCUUCGGUUCGGAAUAACUCAGGGAAACUUGAGCUAAUACCGGAUACGUGCGAGAGCAGAAAGGUUUAUCUGCCGAAGGAUCGGCCCGCGUCUGAUUAGCUAGUUGGUGAGGUUAUGGCUCACCAAGGCGACGAUCAGUAGCUGGUCUGAGAGGAUGAUCAGCCACACUGGGACUGAGACACGGCCCAGACUCCUACGGGAGGCAGCAGUGGGGAAUAUUGGACAAUGGGGGCAACCCUGAUCCAGCCAUGCCGCGUGAGUGAUGACGGCCUUAGGGUUGUAAAGCUCUUUUCUCCGGGACGAUAAUGACGGUACCGGAGGAAUAAGCCCCGGCUAACUUCGUG